Molecule: long non-coding RNA, 802 nt
Organism: Chenopodium quinoa (quinoa)
Lineage: Eukaryota; Viridiplantae; Streptophyta; Magnoliopsida; Caryophyllales; Amaranthaceae
Exons: 4
Source: RefSeq, a predicted model, not a curated record
CGACCCGAAAAUAGUGGGUUAGGGUUGAGAAUUUCGACACAAAAACUUAAAUGGGUUGACACGAACCCGACCCGAAAUUAAAUGGGUUAGGUUAAGGUUGAAAAUUUCAACCCGAAAAUGACCCACGUAACCCGAAAUUAUUUUCGGGUCAAAAUCAGGUCGGGUCAACCCGAACCCGACCUUAUAACCCGAAAAAAAGUCUUGUAAAAAAAAAUAAAAAACUUCAUUUUGAUAAUUUGAUGGCCCAAGCCCAAUUGAAAGUUUGAAACCUAAAAACAAAAACCCUAAAAACAACUAUCAGCCGUUUUCAUUUCACGCCUAAUUUCACAUUUUCUCUCUCUUAAAACUUCUUAGUGCUCUGGUUUUCAUUUUCACUCUUUCGUUCUCAAGCUCUCAACUUCUCCCUCUUCUCACUGAGUAAAAACCCUAAUUUCGUUCUCAAUUUUUGUCCUCUAAGGCUCUAAUCUUUCCUUCUCACUCCUCAACGUCUGAAAGCCGUCAAACCUGAAAGUUCUCCAUCUUCAAAUCUUCCUCUCCUUCAAGCCGUCAACUUAAAGACACCCAUGGCCCAUAAUCUCAUAUACAACAGCUUUCUUCUGGGAGUGUGAGAAGAAGAUUCGAGAGAUUGUUACUUUAAAUAAAUUUGUCUCUUUUUAAUUGUGAUUUGUAAUUUAUUAAACUUUAUUUUGGUAUGUAAUAAUUAAUUAGGCAUUUAAACUUCUUAGAGUGCUAGACUUUAUUUUGUUUUCUUGAAAAUUUUAAGUUUGAAAACAUUAAGUAAAAAAAAAAAAAAAAAAAAAAA